RNAcentral lists this ribosomal RNA (722 nucleotides) under uncultured bacterium. RNAcentral's name for it is "bacterial SSU rRNA". It matches the Rfam family "Bacterial small subunit ribosomal RNA", at positions 62 to 816 of the family's 1533-position model. The record is from RNAcentral.
UCGCACGAGAAAGGGGAGCAAUCCCUGAGUAAAGUGGCGCACGGGUGAGUAACACGUGAAUGAUCUACCUCCGAGUGGGGAAUAACUGAGAGAAAUCUUAGCUAAUACCGCAUAACACUUACGAGUCAAAGCAGCAAUGCGCUUGGAGAGGAGUUCGCGGCCGAUUAGUUAGUUGGCGGGGUAAUGGCCCACCAAGACGAUGAUCGGUAUCCGGCCUGAGAGGGCGCACGGACACACUGGAACUGAAACACGGUCCAGACUCCUACGGGAGGCAGCAGUGGGGAAUUUUGCGCAAUGGGGGAAACCCUGACGCAGCAACGCCGCGUGGAGGAUGAAAUAUCUUGGUAUGUAAACUCCUUUCGAUGGGGAAGAUUAUGACGGUACCCAUAGAAGAAGCCCCGGCUAACUUCGUGCCAGCAGCCGCGGUAAUACGAGGGGGGCAAGCGUUGUUCGGAUUUAUUGGGCGUAAAGGGUGCGUAGGCGGUUUGGCAAGUCUGAUGUGAAAUCUAUGGGCUCAACCCAUAGUCUGCAUCAGAAACUGCCGGGCUUGAGUAUGGGAGAGGUGAGUGGAAUUUCCGGUGUAGCGGUGAAAUGCGUAGAUAUCGGAAGGAACACCUGUGGCGAAAGCGGCUCACUGGACCAUAACUGACGCUGAUGCACGAAAGCUAGGGGAGCAAACAGGAUUAGAUACCCUGGUAGUCCUAGCCCUAAACGAUGAUUGC